AGGCCAGACUCCUACGGGAGGCAGCAGUGAGGAAUAUUGGUCAAUGGGCGGGAGCCUGAACCAGCCAAGUCGCGUGAGGGAUGACGGCCCUAUGGGUUGUAAACCUCUUUUGCCGGGGAGCAAAGUGCCGCACGUGUGCGGUUUGGAGAGUACCCGGAGAAAAAGCAUCGGCUAACUACGUGCCAGCAGCCGCGGUAAUACGUAGGGGGCAAGCGUUAUCCGGAUUUACUGGGUGUAAAGGGAGCGUAGACGGCAUAGCAAGUCUGAAGUGAAAGCCCAAGGCUCAACCAUGGGACUGCUUUGGAAACUGUUAAGCUAGAGUGCUGGAGAGGUAAGCGGAAUUCCUAGUGUAGCGGUGAAAUGCGUAGAUAUUAGGAAGAACACCAGUGGCGAAGGCGGCUUACUGGACAGUAACUGACGUUGAGGCUCGAAAGCGUGGGGGGCAAACAGGAUUAGAUACCCCCGUA
This 467-nucleotide ribosomal RNA is filed under the name uncultured bacterium. RNAcentral describes it as "bacterial SSU rRNA". It matches the Rfam family "Bacterial small subunit ribosomal RNA", at positions 328 to 792 of the family's 1533-position model. The record is from RNAcentral.